CGGUAGUCAUACGCUCGUCUCAAAGAUUAAGCCAUGCAUGUGUAAGUAUAAAUAAUUUUACUUUGAAACUGCGAAUGGCUCAUUAUAUCAGUUAUAGUUUAUUAGAAAUAUUUUACUACUUGGAUAACCGUAGUAAUUCUAGGGCUAAUACAUGAGUAAAACCUCAACUUCGGAAGAGGUGUGUUUAUUAGUAUGAAAACCAUAUAUCUUCGGAUAUAAUAGUGAGUAAUAAUAACCUUUCAUAUCGUAUGUCGUAAGAUAACGAUAGUUCUUUCAAGUUUCUGCCCUAUCAGCUUUCGAUGGUAGUAUAUGGGACUACCAUGGCAGUAACGGGUAACGAAGAAUUUGGGUUCGAUUUCGGAGAGGGAGCCUGAGAGAUGGCUACCACAUCCAAGGAAGGCAGCAGGCGCGUAAAUUACCCAAUCCUGACAUAGGGAGGUAGUGACAAUAAAUCACAWUSSGGAACUUUUAGUUUUGCAAUUGGAUUGAGAACAAUGUACAAAUGUUAUCGAUAAACAAUUGGAGGGCAAGUCUGGUGCCAGCAGCCGCGGUAAUUCCAGCUCCAAUAGCGUAUAUUAACGUUGUU
This 586-nucleotide ribosomal RNA is filed under the name Blastocystis sp. RNAcentral describes it as "SSU rRNA". Lineage: Eukaryota; Bigyra; Opalinata; Blastocystidae. The record is from RNAcentral.